GGACGACAGUGCUAGUUUAGUGUUAAUAAAUCUUAAAUAUCGUCGAAGAUAAGUGCUAUUUUGAAGAAUCUCAACCUCCACGAUGAUGCACAGUCGACUUUUUGACUCUGCACAUGAUGCAGAGAUCAUCUUUAACAUCGCGCUUGCGAGCAUCGUGUCCAGCCUCUGCUGGCACCUGGUGGAGGUUUCCCAUGAAGGGUCGAGGCACCCCACUCUCGGUCCUUCGCGGCAGUCACCAAAGCGCGGGCUAAGGUUCAAGUUGCAUUUUAGAUGCGAGCGAACACGCAUCGUUUUCGGUUAGUGGUCAUGCACCGAGUUUCGUGAAAUCUGACGUCCGCGAGGAGCGAAGCAGGUUCGAGUGGUGCCUGGAUAUCUCAUCGUGGAUCUCGACGUUGACUACUUGGAAGAUCGAGAGUCCACUUGAAGGAGACGAGGAUCGGAGGCCCUUGCAGGACACACGGUGAGUC
Ceratina calcarata is the source of this 467-nucleotide long non-coding RNA. RefSeq lists it as uncharacterized. The transcript has 3 exons. Lineage: Eukaryota; Metazoa; Arthropoda; Insecta; Hymenoptera; Apidae. The record is from RefSeq and is a predicted model, not a curated record.